This 497-nucleotide ribosomal RNA is filed under the name uncultured bacterium. RNAcentral describes it as "partial 16S ribosomal RNA". It matches the Rfam family "Bacterial small subunit ribosomal RNA", at positions 28 to 507 of the family's 1533-position model. The record is from RNAcentral.
GAUGAACGCUGGCGGCGUGCCUAAUACAUGCAAGUCGAGCGAACAGACGAGGAGCUUGCUCCUCUGACGUUAGCGGCGGACGGGUGAGUAACACGUGGAUAACCUACCUAUAAGACUGGGAUAACUUCGGGAAACCGGAGCUAAUACCGGAUAAUAUAUUGAACCGCAUGGUUCAAUAGUUAAAGACGGUUUUGCUGUCACUUAUAGAUGGAUCCGCGCCGCAUUAGCUAGUUGGUAAGGUAACGGCUUACCAAGGCAACGAUGCGUAGCCGACCUGAGAGGGUGAUCGGCCACCCUGGAACUGAGACACGGUCCAGACUCCUACGGGAGGCAGCAGUAGGGAAUCUUCCGCAAUGGGCGAAAGCCUGACGGAGCAACGCCGCGUGAGUGAUGAAGGUCUUCGGAUCGUAAAACUCUGUUAUUAGGGAAGAACAAAUGUGUAAGUAACUAUGCACGUCUUGACGGUACCGAAUCAGAAAGCCACGGCUAACUACGUG